AGAGUUUGAUCCUGGCUCAGGACGAACGCUGGCGGCGUGCCUAAUGCAUGCAAGUCGAGCGACGCGCACUACGGUGCGACGGAGCGGCGAACGGGUGAGUAACACGUGAGCAACCUGCCCUGAAGACCGGAAUAGCCCGGGGAAACCCGGUGUAAUGCCGGAUACACUCCCGAUACCGCAUGGUAUGGGAGAAAACGCCUUUGUGCUUCAGGAUGGGCUCACGGCCUAUCAGCUAGUUGGUGAGGUAACGGCUCACCAAGGCGACGACGGGUAGCUGGUCUGAGAGGACGAUCAGCCACACUGGGACUGAGACACGGCCCAGACUCCUACGGGAGGCAGCAGCAGGGAAUAUUGCGCAAUGGGCGAAAGCCUGACGCAGCGACGCCGCGUGGGGGAUGAAUGCCUUCGGGUUGUAAACCCCUUUCAGGAGGGAAGAAAUUGACGGUACCUCCAAAAGAAGCCCCGGCCAACUACGUGCCAGCAGCCGCGGUAAGACGUAGGGGGCAAGCGUUGUCCGGAAUCAUUGGGCGUAAAGGGCUCGUAGGCGGCUCGGUAAGUUGAUCGUGAAAUCCCGGAGCUCAACUCCGGAACUGCGGUCGAUACUGCCGUGGCUAGAGUCAGGUAGAGGAGAGUAGAAUUCCCGGUGUA
This 648-nucleotide ribosomal RNA is filed under the name uncultured Actinomycetes bacterium. RNAcentral's name for it is "bacterial SSU rRNA". It matches the Rfam family "Bacterial small subunit ribosomal RNA", at positions 8 to 677 of the family's 1533-position model. The record is from RNAcentral. Lineage: Bacteria; Bacillati; Actinomycetota; Actinomycetes.